UACGUAGGGGGCGAGCGUUGUCCGGAAUCACUGGGCGUAAAGCGCGCGUAGGCGGACUUUUAAGUCAGAUGUGAAAACUUUGGGCUCAACCUGGAGAUUGCAUCUGAAACUGGGAGUCUUGAGUGUAGAAGAGGAGAGUGGAAUUCCUAGUGUAGCGGUGAAAUGCGUAGAUAUUAGGAGGAACACCAGUGGCGAAGGCGACUCUCUGGUCUAUAACUGACGCUGAGGUGCGAAAGCGUGGGGAGCAAACAGGAUUAGAUACC
This 263-nucleotide ribosomal RNA is filed under the name uncultured bacterium. RNAcentral's name for it is "partial 16S ribosomal RNA". It matches the Rfam family "Bacterial small subunit ribosomal RNA", at positions 524 to 786 of the family's 1533-position model. The record is from RNAcentral.